This 396-nucleotide ribosomal RNA is filed under the name uncultured bacterium. RNAcentral's name for it is "partial 16S ribosomal RNA". It matches the Rfam family "Bacterial small subunit ribosomal RNA", at positions 523 to 918 of the family's 1533-position model. The record is from RNAcentral.
AUACGUAGGGAGCAAGCGUUAUCCGGAUUUAUUGGGCGUAAAGCGCGCGUAGGCGGCUUGUUAAGUCAGGUGUUAAAGGCAAGGGCUCAACCCCUGUUCGCACCUGAAACUGGCAGGCUUGAGUUUGGUAGAGGAAAACGGAAUUCCCAGUGUAGCGGUGAAAUGCGCAGAUAUUGGGAAGAACACCGGUGGCGAAGGCGGUUUUCUGGGCCACAACUGACGCUGAGGUGCGAAAGCUAGGGGAGCAAACAGGAUUAGAUACCCUGGUAGUCCUAGCCGUAAACGAUGGAUACUAGGUGUUGGGGGUCUAUAGACCCUCGGUGCCGCAGCAAACGCAAUAAGUAUUCCACCUGGGGAGUACGUUCGCAAGAAUGAAACUCAAAUGAAUUGACGGGG